This is a long non-coding RNA of Episyrphus balteatus (marmalade hoverfly), 731 nucleotides long. RefSeq lists it as uncharacterized. The transcript is spliced from 2 exons. Lineage: Eukaryota; Metazoa; Arthropoda; Insecta; Diptera; Syrphidae. The record is from RefSeq and is a predicted model, not a curated record.
AGAUCUACUUUUUUUUUGCUUCGAAAUUUUGAAACUGAAAUCCGAACCCUGAUGGAAACAACACAACACACUCUAAAAUACAGCGACCAGCAGGCAGAAGCAGCAGCACGGACGAGCACGAACCGAAGCAAAAGAGGACGCAAAAACAUCUGCUGAAACAUUUCUAUGGAACAUUUGUCUGUCGUCGAAAAGAUUUCUUCUCUAUUUAACAAAACCAACAAGAAACAAAAAAUAUAUACGCCUUUGUGGUAAAUUGUAUAGAUACUUACGGAUUCGUUGAGGUAAUUAGCAAUCGAAUCAUAGUCCGUAAAGCUGCAAUCCAUAGUAGGUGCUCCUCUAGUCGACAAAAGAAAUGCGAAUGCGUUUUCUUUUCACAGUGAUUCUUCUUUAUAGGUUUUGGGGCUGCACCAAAAAAAAAACUUAUUCUUCUUUCAAGAUGAAGAAAAUCAAGGAAUCAUCCAAAAAAAAAAGCUACAUAAAUGAAUUUCAGAGCUCACUUUACAAAACAUAAACAAAAUAGUUUUUCUUUUUCUUUUAUUUUCUCAAGUCUUUUCUUUUGUUAAAAAAAAUUCAUACAAAAUAUUAUUUUACAAAUACAAAAUUUAUUUUUUUCGUAUUUUCAACUAUUUAAUUAUUGUCGAAGUGCACAUUUUGGGUUGCAGACACUCAGCCAUUUUAAGUGCACGCACAUCUACACAAGGGUCUCAUCAAAAAAAAAAAAAAUACAAAAA